AGCCAUCGAGUGUACCAGCUACCGAUCUUAUCCUCCACGCCAUCCUGGCUUAUCUCCAAGCCAAGCCCUCAUACAAACCCCAACCCUCUCUGCCUUUUUCCCUCGAAUGCAUUUCAUCGAACACCAUGCGAUCACUCUCUCACCACCGCUAGAGAUCACCAUUGCGAGGCUCCCCGGCCGGAGCUGGAGGUUGGAGGGAGUGGAGGAAGAGCUUUGCUGCCGUCGUCGCCAUUGAGGGAGUCGAGGACCGCUGGAUGUUGGGAACCACGCAUCGAACACCUGCAAGCGUCGCCGACCGCUAGCCGCCCCUAUUUCGUCCGCACUGAGCCGCGCGCCGCCGAACUUCGUCAUCCUGCCGUCUCUCGAGCCCUUCGGCGUGCUGUCCCGGCCGUUGUUCCGUCGCCAGCGAGCUCACCGUGGACAUGCCAUCCCACAGCUCCACCUAGCCACAUUAUUAGCGAAAUCGAACACUCGGUCGCUCUAGGUGCUUCUGUACUCAUCAAUUUGGUCGGAGGCCUCACCUAUCGCUCAAGCCCCAAACCUCCCGAGCUCAGCCAUGGCGGCUAUGCCGCGCCGCUCGCCUCCGCUUCGCCACGCGCCUUGGCCGCCGGCGGGAGAUCGCCGGAGAUCCUCCGCGUCUCUGCCCGGCAGUUGCCGAGCAGCCCGCUGCCGUCCCGGCUCGGGCCGACCACACCAGCUGCGCCGAGCCGCGCCUCUGCCUCGCUCGGUAACGGGCGAGACAAAAGAAGAUGA
RNAcentral lists this long non-coding RNA (753 nucleotides) under Oryza sativa aus subgroup. RNAcentral's name for it is "lncRNA OsN22_08G020970". Lineage: Eukaryota; Viridiplantae; Streptophyta; Magnoliopsida; Poales; Poaceae. The record is from RNAcentral.